UUGGGGAGCCUUCUUUAAGGGGUGAGGGCGCCUCAUUGGCUGCUAUGCCGGGGUCAGCUGGAGGUCAGGACAUGUGUGAUGGAUGGACCUCUGUCUCUGAACCACUACCAAGCCAGCUCCCCGUCCUCGCUCCUCCUGUGGGCCUCAGACRCGCUGAAGUGCCCUGCCUGCGCUCCUCUGUUUCCACAUCUCUUUGUAUAACUCCAUUUGGCACCCUAUAGGUCGGAGUGCUUCAUCAAGCCRAAAGGAGCUCGAAGGGAACUGCAGACAAGUCUUUGAGAGACGCACAUCUGUCGAUGGAAGAAUUCAUUUUGUCCGCCAAUCACACCGGGGGAGUGGUCACUGAGCUCAGAUGUGCCAAUACCUGGACUGCUGUGAUGAGUGACUUCUGUCUGUGUCCAUCUCCACCUCCCUCAGCUUCCAGCACUUUCUGUCUGAUCCACCGAGUCACCGGCAGAACCACUGCUGGAGAGAGGGAUGAUUUUACUGCUCUGUGCAUGUGAGAAAAAUAUAAACAAAGCUGCCACUGUUAUUUAGGAUAAACAACAAUUUGCACGAAAAAUGAAUCAUUUUAAGUGAUUUUGUCACAUUUGAUGUGAUUAUUGUAGAUAUUUUUGUCAUUUUUUUGACAUAUUGUAUUUUUGUGAUGAACAAAAAAAAACGAGACUGUGAGUUUUAAAGUUUCAACUCUGAGUUUCAACAGCUGGUGGUAGAAUUUWUUUUUAGUCUUCCUAAAACAGUCCCAGUUCUGGAAAUCGAAUACUUGUAUUUUUCAGAUCAGACUUGAGGUCCUGCUUUUAUGUUCUAUCUUUCAUAUGGGUCAUCAGAUACACAUACCAUUAAAAAUAAUAAUAAUAUUAUUAAUAAAAAUAAUUCAAAAAUGCAAUUUAAAAAAACAUGAACAAUUUAUUGGACAUGGUGAAUGGAACUUAUUUGUGGUGUUUUUUCCCUUGUUAUAUUUGUGUGAUUUGGAUAAAUACCUGUUCACUCUCAUU
This is a long non-coding RNA of Austrofundulus limnaeus, 995 nucleotides long. RefSeq lists it as uncharacterized. NCBI's taxonomy places the organism in Eukaryota, Metazoa, Chordata, Actinopteri, Cyprinodontiformes, Rivulidae. The transcript is spliced from 2 exons. The record is from RefSeq and is a predicted model, not a curated record.